UACGUAGGGGGCGAGCGUUGUCCGGAUUCAUUGGGCGUAAAGAGCUCGUAGGCGGUUUGGUAAGUCGGGUGUGAAAACCCCAGGCUCAACCUGGGGACGCCACCUGAUACUGCUAUGACUUGAGUCUGGUAGGGGACCACGGAAUUCCUGGUGUAGCGGUGAAAUGCGCAGAUAUCAGGAGGAACACCGGUGGCGAAGGCGGUGGUCUGGGCCAGUACUGACGCUGAGGAGCGAAAGCGUGGGGAGCAAACAGG
RNAcentral lists this ribosomal RNA (254 nucleotides) under uncultured bacterium. RNAcentral's name for it is "partial 16S ribosomal RNA". It matches the Rfam family "Bacterial small subunit ribosomal RNA", at positions 524 to 776 of the family's 1533-position model. The record is from RNAcentral.